CAGUAGUCAUAUGCUUGUCUCAAAGAUUAAGCCAUGCAUGUCUAAGUAUAAGUUUUUAUACGGCGAAACUGCGAAUGGCUCAUUACAACAGUUAUAGUUUAUUUGAUGGUCAUUUUUUACAUGGAUAACCAUGGUAAUUCUGUGGCUAAUACAUGCGCACUCACAUUGCCUCUGGUUGUGUGGUGUUUAUUAGAUACCAAACUGACACAUCUUCGGAUGUUUUCCAGAUGAUUCAUAGUAACCGAACGGAUCGCAUUAUGGCUUCGGCUGGCGAUAGAUCAUUCAAGUUUCUGACCUAUCAGCUUUCGACGGUAGGGUAUUGGCCUACCGUGGCAGUGACGGGUAACGGGGAAUUAGGGUUCGAUUCCGGAGAGGGAGCCUGAGAAACGGCUACCACAUCUAAGGAAGGCAGCAGGCGCGCAAAUUACCCAAUGAAAACAGUUUCGAGGUAGUGACGAGAAAUAACAAUACAGGGCAUUAAAUGUCUUGUAAUUGGAAUGACUUAAAUUUAAACCCCUUUCGGAGUAACAAUUGGAGGGCAAGUCUGGUGCCAGCAGCCGCGGUAAUUCCAGCUCCAAUAGCGUAUAUUAGAGUUGUUGCAGUUAAAAAGCUCGUAGUUGGAUUUCUGUUGGGGGCAUCCCGUCCGCCUUUUGGUGUGCAUGGGUCAUCCCUAGCAUUUUCCUGGUUCCCCUUUGCACUUUAUUGUGCUUUGGUUCUCCAGGACGUUUACUUUGAGUAAAAUAGAGUGUUUCAAGCAGGCUUUUGCCUUGAAUACUACAGCAUGGAAUAAUAAGAUAGGACUUUGGCCCUAUUUUGUUGGUUCUAGGACUAAAGUAAUGAUUAAUAGGGACAGUUGGGGGCAUUCGUAUUUAACUGUCAGAGGUGAAAUUCUUAGAUUUGUUAAAGACGCACUACUGCGAAAGCAUUUGCCAAGGAUGUUUUCAUUAAUCAAGAACGACAGUAGGGGGUUUGAAGACGAUUAGAUACCGUCGUAAUCUCUACCAUAAACUAUGCCGACUAGAGAUAGGGAAAUGCCUGUCUUGGCUUCCCCUGCACCUCGUGAGAAAUCAAAGUCUCUGGGUUCUGGGGGGAGUAUGGUCGCAAGGCUGAAACUUAAAGGAAUUGACGGAAGGGCACCACCAGGCGUGGAGCCUGCGGCUUAAUUUGACUCAACACGGGAAAUCUCACCAGGUCCAGACAUGGGAAGGAUUGACAGAUUGAUAGCUCUUUCUUGAUUCUAUGGGUGGUGGUGCAUGGCCGUUCUUAGUUGGUGGAGUGAUCUGUCUGGUUAAUUUCGAUAACGAACGAGACCUUAGCCUGCUAAAUAGGAUCGGGAAUUUUAUUCUCGCAUCACUUCUUAGAGGGACUUUGCACGUCUAGUGCAAGGAAGUUUGAGGCAAUAACAGGUCUGUGAUGCCCUUAGAUGUUCUGGGCUGCACGCGCGCUACACUGACGCAUCCAACAAGUUUCUCCCUUGGCCGAUAGGUCUUGGAAAUCUUGUGAGUGUGCGUCGUGAUGGGGAUAGAUUAUUGCAAUUAUUAAUCUUCAACGAGGAAUGCCUAGUAGGCGCAAGUCAACAGCUUGCGCCGAUUACGUCCCUGCCCUUUGUACACACCGCCCGUCGCUGCAACCGAUCGGAGGGUCCUGUGAAUUUGUUGGACUGUUCAUUAGUGCUUUUGCUCUUUUGAUCGGAAAGAUAUGUAAACAGCGCCUUCUAAAGGAUGCAAAAGUCGUAACACGGUUUCCGUAGGUGAACCUGCAGAAG
Molecule: ribosomal RNA, 1765 nt
Filed under: Eimeria variabilis
Lineage: Eukaryota; Apicomplexa; Conoidasida; Eucoccidiorida; Eimeriidae
Description: SSU rRNA
Rfam family: Eukaryotic small subunit ribosomal RNA
Source: RNAcentral